RNAcentral lists this ribosomal RNA (515 nucleotides) under uncultured bacterium. RNAcentral's name for it is "bacterial SSU rRNA". It matches the Rfam family "Bacterial small subunit ribosomal RNA", at positions 15 to 518 of the family's 1533-position model. The record is from RNAcentral.
GAUUAUGGCUCAGAUUGAACGCUGGCGGCAGGCCUAACACAUGCAAGUCGAACGGUAACAGGAAGCAGCUUGCUGCUUUGCUGACGAGUGGCGGACGGGUGAGUAAUGUCUGGGAAACUGCCCGAUGGAGGGGGAUAACUACUGGAAACGGUAGCUAAUACCGCAUAAUGUCGCAAGACCAAAGAGGGGGACCUUCGGGCCUCUUGCCAUCGGAUGUGCCCAGAUGGGAUUAGCUUGUUGGUGAGGUAACGGCUCACCAAGGCGACGAUCCCUAGCUGGUCUGAGAGGAUGACCAGCCACACUGGAACUGAGACACGGUCCAGACUCCUACGGGAGGCAGCAGUGGGGAAUAUUGCACAAUGGGCGCAAGCCUGAUGCAGCCAAUGCCGCGUGUAUGAAGAAGGCCUUCGGGUUGUAAAGUACUUUCAGCGGGGAGGAAGGGGUUAAGGUUAAUAACCUUAGCCAUUGACGUUACCCGCAGAAGAAGCACCGGCUAACUCCGUGCCAGCCGCGGC